Small nuclear RNA from Oryctolagus cuniculus (rabbit), 119 nucleotides. Its record names the gene U2. It matches the Rfam family "U2 spliceosomal RNA". Rfam says of the family: U2 is a small nuclear RNA (snRNA) component of the spliceosome (involved in pre-mRNA splicing). Complementary binding between U2 snRNA (in an area lying towards the 5' end but 3' to hairpin I) and the branchpoint sequence (BPS) of the intron results the bulging out of an unpaired adenosine, on the BPS, which initiates a nucleophilic attack at the intronic 5' splice site, thus starting the first of two transesterification reactions that mediate splicing. Lineage: Eukaryota; Metazoa; Chordata; Mammalia; Lagomorpha; Leporidae. The record is from Ensembl.
AUAGCUUCUUGGCCUUUUGGCUAAGAUCAAGUGAAUUAUAUUUUCAUACCUUGGAGAAUAUAAUCAGUGGUUAUGUAUCAAUUAUCAAUUGAUACAGUUAUCAAUUAUAUACAAUCAAU